RNAcentral lists this ribosomal RNA (254 nucleotides) under uncultured bacterium. RNAcentral's name for it is "partial 16S ribosomal RNA". It matches the Rfam family "Bacterial small subunit ribosomal RNA", at positions 524 to 776 of the family's 1533-position model. The record is from RNAcentral.
UACAGAGGUCCCAAGCGUUGUUCGGAUUCACUGGGCGUAAAGGGUGCGUAGGUGGCCUGGAAAAGUUUGAUGUGAAAGCUCGGAGCUUAACUCCGAAAUGGCAUUGAAUACUACUGGGCUUGAGGGUCGGAGGGGAGACUGGAAUUCUCGGUGUAGCAGUGAAAUGCGUAGAUAUCAGGAGGAAUACCGGUGGCGAAAGCGACUCUCUGGACGGUAACUGACGCUGAGGCACGAAAGCGUGGGGAGCAAACAGG